This 497-nucleotide ribosomal RNA is filed under the name uncultured bacterium. Its description in RNAcentral is "partial 16S ribosomal RNA". It matches the Rfam family "Bacterial small subunit ribosomal RNA", at positions 28 to 507 of the family's 1533-position model. The record is from RNAcentral.
GAUGAACGCUGGCGGCGUGCCUAAUACAUGCAAGUCGAGCGAACAGACGAGGAGCUUGCUCCUCUGACGUUAGCGGCGGACGGGUGAGUAACACGUGGAUAACCUACCUAUAAGACUGGGAUAACUGCGGGAAACCGGAUCUAAUACCGGAUAAUAUAUUUAACCGCAUGGUGCAAUAGUGAAAGACGGUUUUGCUGGCACUUAUAUAUGGACGCGCGCCGCAUGAGCUAGUUGGUAAGGAAACGGCUUACCAAGGCAACGAUGCGUAGCCGACCUGAGAGGGUGAUCGGCCACACUGGAACUGAGACACGGUCCAGACUCCUACGGGAGGCAGCAGUAGGGAAUCUUCCGCAAUGGGCGAAAGCCUGCCGGAGCAACGCCGCGUGAGUGAUGAAGGUCUUCGGAUCGUAAAACUCUGUUAUUAGGGAAGAACAAAUGUGUAAGUAACUAUGCACGUCUUGACGGUACCUAAUCAGAAAGCCACGGCUAACUACGUG